GAGAUGCCGGGCCCAGAUUUCGCAUAUGUUGUGAUUGUUUCGAUGACAAAACAUCCAUUUACCAUAUAUCCCCGGUUUCGGGAUGGAUGGAUAAUGGCUUUCGGGAAAGUUUCUAUUAUGAUGCAACCUACCUUCAAGUGCCAUUAGUCAGACUUCCUUCCGGAUAUACUGGUCGUUUCGUAUGCUCUAUUGAGCGUCGAGCGCCUGCCGUGAGCGCCUGCCGUAGCGCUCAUACCGCUGAAGCAGAUGCACCGCAGCAGCGAAACAGCUUUGCCAUACCACUGAGGGCGUCCGCUCGAGGCGUAGUUCACUCGACACGGGGUCGGCGUACAUCAGCAUUCUGGGAGCCUGCGAGCUGCGCAGACAGACGUACUGCCUGUGGCAGCGCGAAGCGAUAUACCAGGAUACUUCGGCGACCAAGGCGAUGCCCAAACGCAGCAUACCUGUUCCUAGUCCAAGAAUAAAUUGCGCUGCAGACAAGUUGCUCAGGUCUCGCAACAGCACCCACCACUUUCGAGGCACACUGAGCACCAGCUUAGCAGACCCGUCCGCCUCGCCGGACCUUCCGCCUAGAAGGUAAACUUUCGACAGUAAGGAAACCUUUUGUCCGUUUUAAAGUUUAUCGUAGAGAGGGAACGAGAUUUUUAUUUCGUUGCCUGUGCAUCGCUAGUCUCUGUUCAAAAAUAUCAACGAAUCCCUGAUCAAUGCCUCGUGUUCCUGGACGGAUUUCGCAGCCACGACGCACAACAUGAUCAAACUGCACGUGUUCCGAGUCAUGUUUCGGAUGUUUACAAUUCAAACGAGGAACUAGUACAUCUUCGUUGCGGCUGGAGGCGAGUGUUGUCGCAUGCAGUGCGCAGGUUUUCGUCCAAGUUGUGCUGUGCAGCGUGUAACGCUAGUUGAGGGCCCGCACGUUGCUGGCGCCUAUCGGAGUGCCGCAUGGUGCGCAGCGACAGCUCGUUGCCUCCGCAGGCUAUCGAGCGUCUCACGCUCGCAUCUGUCAAUAACCGACGCUGACCCUUGGUCAUGUUCUUGGUUAGACAGCCCGCACCAUCGAUGCCAUCGCGUGCUGUAGCGAUCGCUCGGAUGUUCUAUCGCGGGGCUUGCUUGCUGUACCCGUCAUCGAUAGACGCGGCUGCUUGGUACGAAGUCUACGCGUCUUCGCCAUCAGGCACUGCUUACGGUGUCAAGCUGGCCUGCUCCUUGCACUGGGUGCGUUUCACCUUUCGUUUUUCUUCGGGGGCGAACAUGUUCUCCAUUUCGUAGAAGCGGUGCAGGAGGGCGAUGGAUUCUUGAGCAAAAUGACCCCCGCUAACACGCAGCGGUUUGCGGUUAGACGGCAAUCCGCAGCUCCCGUCGUGAACUCGGAGCACAGUACCACAGCCGCCAAAUCGUUCGUUUCUACAACCAAAGUAGACGUAGCCACCAACGCCGUGCGCAAUCAGAGCAGCCGUGCACAUAAUACACGGCUCGCAGGUCACGUAGACAUCGGAUUUCGCUAGCAACGCUUCUCGACGUUCCAUAUGAGGGUAACGGUGCAGCACAUCAACCAAACCUACCAAUUCGGCGUGUUUGGUUGCAUUUCGGAGCUCGUUGCAGCGGUUCGCUCCGUAACCGAUAAUCUCGCCGGAAUAUCGCUGAACCAGCAGGCAUCCGACGGGAACUUCCGCGUGCCUUUCCAUUGCACGCUUUCCUAUCUCUAGAGCAAUGAGCAUGAAUUUGGGAUUAAACG
RNA transcript from Cyanidioschyzon merolae strain 10D, 1732 nucleotides. RefSeq lists it as hypothetical. The record is from RefSeq and is a predicted model, not a curated record. Lineage: Eukaryota; Rhodophyta; Bangiophyceae; Cyanidiales; Cyanidiaceae. The transcript has a single exon.